UGCUUGUGAAAAAAUGUUGUAUUUAAUACAACUGAAAAUAAAAGAUAAAAAACUCACUUGUAUAUGUAUAAAUGUGAACCUAAGAAAUAUAAGUGUAAGUGUACACUUGUGGAACAUAAAAUUGGAGAUGCGUGUGUGAAAUUGUAACGGAAAAUAUCCUGUUCUGUGGUGUAAAAAAUUUGAUCAGACCCAAAGAGUAUGAUCGCGCUGUACUAAAAAGCUUGUAUGGAGGCAUGUAAAAUAUAUAAAGCGAGAGAAGGAGAUAGUCAUGUGUGUAAAAUUCAGUAUCCCUGUACGCGGC
This is a non-coding RNA of Paramuricea clavata, 301 nucleotides long. The record is from the annotation of a GenBank genome assembly. NCBI's taxonomy places the organism in Eukaryota, Metazoa, Cnidaria, Anthozoa, Malacalcyonacea, Plexauridae.